UGACGAGCGGCGGACGGGUGAGUAAUGUCUGGGAAACUGCCUGAUGGAGGGGGAUAACUACUGGAAACGGUAGCUAAUACCGCAUAACGUCGCAAGACCAAAGUGGGGGACCUUCGGGCCUCAUGCCAUCAGAUGUGCCCAGAUGGGAUUAGCUAGUAGGUGGGGUAAUGGCUCACCUAGGCGACGAUCCCUAGCUGGUCUGAGAGGAUGACCAGCCACACUGGAACUGAGACACGGUCCAGACUCCUACGGGAGGCAGCAGUGGGGAAUAUUGCACAAUGGGCGCAAGCCUGAUGCAGCCAUGCCGCGUGUAUGAAGAAGGCCUUCGGGU
Molecule: ribosomal RNA, 331 nt
Filed under: Klebsiella aerogenes
Lineage: Bacteria; Pseudomonadati; Pseudomonadota; Gammaproteobacteria; Enterobacterales; Enterobacteriaceae
Description: bacterial SSU rRNA
Rfam family: Bacterial small subunit ribosomal RNA
Source: RNAcentral